AUGGUGCUGGACCUACUCAGCCUCAUGGGCGCGUAUGGCGCCGGUACCUGCCGCGACAAGAUUUCAAUCUUCUACUUCGCGGUACUUGUGGCCAUCGUCUUCCUCUACAUCCUCGUUCUCAAGUUGAUGGACUGCUGGGACAAGAACUCCGAUUCCAGUGCCGGCAUGAUUCCUGCCCCCGUCGCCAGCUCCAUAGACGGGAUGCCCGUCAACAUGGGCUCCGACUCCGGUGGCACGACGCCCAUUCCCAAUCCUGACUCCGGCACGAGUUCCGGCCCUGUCGCCAGCUGCGAUGGCAGGAUGCCCGUCUCCAACGACAACACCGGCUCCGACGACAUCAUGCCCGCUCCCAAUCCCGACUCUAGCACCGACACGAUUCCGGCCCCCAUCCUCGGCUCUGACCCGGCCAUUGUCGACAAACGGUUCCGCGACCGCAAGGCCCUGAAGAAGCUGAAAGCCGAAGAACGGCUCCGCAAGGUCCUGAUGCUUCUGGCUACAUUCGCGGUGAGCAUCACGUACGUGGCCGGGCUGAGCACGCCAGGCGGGUUCUGGGACAGCACCGGGGGCAGCCACCGCCCAGGUGACGCCAUCCUCAAGGACCAGCACAACCCACGCCUGACGGUGUUCUUGCUCUGCAACACCACAGCAUUCGUGGUGUCCCUUCUCAUCACCAUGCUGCUUAUCAUCGACGGCAAGAAGCUCCGCAAGAAGAAGACGGCUCGGUCUCGCAUGCUCUGUGGGUGCAUCGUGGUCGCCCUGGUCGGCCUAGUCGGCGCAUACAUCGCCGGCAGCUGCAGGGAGAUUGAUACCACCGCCUACGUGGCCAGCUUGGUCGGUGCCGUUCUAGCAAUAGCACACAUCAUCCUACUCUAUGGUAUCUACGCUUCAGCGCAACAAACUGAAGAAAUUCAGCAGACUGAUGCUAAUGUCAGUACAAUACAGUGCAGUGGCAAGGAGGUUCUGGACAAGGCUCGCUCUCUUGUUCUACUGCUUGCCACUCUUGCCGCCGCCAUCACCUACACAGCGGGGUUGAAGCCACCGGGAGGACUUUGGCAGGACAACACCAACGGGCACAUGGCCGGUGACCCCAUCCUUCUCACAACCAAUGCUAGCCGAUACAAGGCCUUCUUCUACUGCAACUCGGUUGCCUUUGUGGCCUCCUUGGUGGCCAUUGUCCUAGUCCAGACGGAAAUUCUGGUCAAGCACCACGUGCUGGAGGCAGCCAUGAUACUUGACCUCUUUGGCCUCAUCGGUGCAUAUGCCGCCGGGAGCUGCCGGGGCGUGAACAGCUCCAUUUACGUCAUGGCUUUGGCAGGCCUCGUCCUGGUCUAUGUGGUGAUCCAUGUUAUCUUCUUCACGCUGGAUCACGAGGACAAAAACCACGACAACCAGGCAAAUCAGUUGCUGGAGAAGAGGCGCAAACGGUUGCUCCUCUUCGCGAUCUUGGCUGCGACCAUUACCUACCAAGCCGGCCUCACCCCUCCUGGUGGCUUCCUGCUCCAGGAUGACAACCUCGGACACCAGGCUGGCGACCCGGUCCUCUUGUACAACUUCCCACGUCGCUACAAGGCAUUCUUCUACUGCAACUCGGUGAGCUUCAUGCUUUCCAUCUCCCUCAUCCUCCUCCUGGUGAACCCCAAUCUAUACAGGCCAGCCAUACGAAGCAAUGCGCUAUCUGUUUGUACGGCUGUGGGCUUGUUUUGUUUGAUGGUGGCCUACGCCGCUGGAAGCACCCAACACCUCAAGACAUCCAUCUACAUCUUUGUGUUGGUCGGUGUGGUCCUCUUCGUUGCAGCUGGACUGCUGCUAGUAUUUGCGCUGAGGGAGCAAAACAAUAGUGACAAUUCAGCAGCUGCCGCGUCAUCCAUAUCCCAUGAACAGGAGGAAGAAGAAGAAAGGAACAAGGAGGAAGAAAGGAAGAAGCACGCGAGGCGCAAGUACCUGAUGCUGCUAGGAAUCUUGGUGGCAAGCGUUGCCUACCAGGCCGGCCUGGAACCGCCCGGCGGAGCAUGGCAGAGCAGUGGCAAUGGAUAUGAGGCAGGCGAUCCGGUGAUGCAUGAUAUCAGGAGGCCUCGGUACCUUGUCUUCUUCUACAGCAACUCCUUUUCCUUCGUGGCUUCCAUUGUUGUCAUCAUGAUGUUACUGCCGCACUGGCUGCCAAACAGGAAGAAAGAAGAAUGGGAGAAAUGGUCGUUGAGGGUGAUGAACUGGACGAUCCUGCUGGAUUUGGUCGCUCUCCUAGUGGCAUAUGCAGCCGGAUCCAGCAGGGGUUGGAAGACGUCUGUGUAUGUCAGCAUGCUCAUACUUGCCGUUCUGGGCUACUUUGCAAUCCAUAUGACGCUGUCAAUAUGGUCUGAUCGUUGCCAUCGCCGUCGUCCUCUCCAUGAGAGGGUUGAGAGCAGCCAAGAAAAUCCUCGAGUUUGGAUAAACCUGCUUCCCAAUUGGAGCAUGCCAGCGUGA
Molecule: ribosomal RNA, 2460 nt
Filed under: Triticum aestivum (bread wheat)
Lineage: Eukaryota; Viridiplantae; Streptophyta; Magnoliopsida; Poales; Poaceae
Description: partial small subunit ribosomal RNA
Source: RNAcentral